Non-coding RNA from Tachysurus fulvidraco (yellow catfish), 733 nucleotides. NCBI's taxonomy places the organism in Eukaryota, Metazoa, Chordata, Actinopteri, Siluriformes, Bagridae. The record is from the annotation of a RefSeq genome assembly.
UCUUUGAGAUGGGACUAGGCAGAGUUUUGUGUUACUUUACUCUAGUAAUCUUCAUUCAAUAUUCCUGCAGUCAGACACUGAUCGAGUCUGAUCCAGUUAUCAUCAAACCUGAUCAGUCUCAUAAACUAAUCUGCACAGCAUCUGGAUUAGACAUUAGUAGCUACUGGAUGGCUUGGAUCAGACAGGCGCCUGGAAAAGGACUGGAAUGGGUUGCAAUUAUUGAGGGUGAUAGUGAUAGGAAGUUUUACUCCAGUACUGUUCAGGGCCGCUUCACCAUCUCCAGAGACAACAGUAAGAAGCAGGUGUAUCUGCAGAUGAACAACAUGAGGACAGAAGACACUGCAGUUUAUUACUGCGCCCGUCGCACACAGUGAUACUUCCUCUUAUACAUCAGUACAAAAACACAGACUUACUACAGACACAUGAAAGGCUCAUUGUCUGUUACAAAAAAUGAUAGAAAAAAUGUAAAUUUUUUAUUUUUUAUUGUACAUUUCUUUUCUUUUUUUUAAAGCUGCUUUGAGAAAAUGAAUGGAAAAAAGUUAAUUAAAUCAACAGAUUAAGAACUAUGGAAGUAGAUAAUUUGGUUAAACCAAAUGAUUUACUAUGUUACUGCUGAUACUGUGUCUUAGGGUUUUCUCUCUUUUAAACCAUGCUGAUAAAAAUGCUCCAAUUCUGAAUUCCUACUUUCUUUAUUUACAUUGUUGGUCCAUGUGAAAGUUUUUUUUUUUUUUGC